CAGUCGCCGCGGGAAUACGAAGGGGGGCUAGCGUUGUUCGGAAUUACUGGGCGUAAAAGGCGCGUAGGCGGCCAUUCAAGUUAGAUGUGAAAGCCCUGGGCUCAACCUAGGAAUUGCAUUUGAUACUGUUUGGCUUGAGUUCGGGAGAGGUGAGUGGAAUUCCCAGUGUAGAGGUGAAAUUCGUAGAUAUUGGGAAGAACACCAGUGGCGAAGGCGGCUCACUGGACCGACACUGACGCUGAGGCGCGAAAGCGUGGGGAGCAAACAAGAUUAGAUACCCCGGUAGUCCCUGUCUCUUAUA
This 301-nucleotide ribosomal RNA is filed under the name uncultured bacterium. RNAcentral describes it as "partial 16S ribosomal RNA". It matches the Rfam family "Bacterial small subunit ribosomal RNA", at positions 509 to 808 of the family's 1533-position model. The record is from RNAcentral.